UGGGGAAUCUUGCGCAAUGGGCGAAAGCCUGACGCAGCGACGCCGCGUGAAGGAUGAAGGUCUUCGGAUCGUAAACUUCUGUUAAGUGGGAAGAAAUCUUCAUGGUUAAUACCCAUGAAGGAUGACGGUACCAUUAGAGAAAGCACCGGCUAAACUCGUGCCAGCAGCCGCGGUAAUACGAGUGGUGCAAACGUUAUUCGGAUUUACUGGGCGUAAAGGGUGCGUAGACGGUUUAGUAAGUCAACUGUAAAAUUUUCCGGCCUAACCGGAAGUCUGCGGUAGAAACUAUUAAACUAGAGGAUGGAAGAGAGAAGUGGAAUUCUCGGAGUAGCGGUAAAAUGCGUAGAUCUCGAGAGGAACACCGAUGGCGAAAGCAGCUUCUUGGUCCAUAUCUGACGUUGAGGCACGAAAGCGUGGGUAGCAAACAGGAUUAGAUACCCCCGUAGUCC
RNAcentral lists this ribosomal RNA (449 nucleotides) under uncultured prokaryote. Its description in RNAcentral is "bacterial SSU rRNA". It matches the Rfam family "Bacterial small subunit ribosomal RNA", at positions 355 to 796 of the family's 1533-position model. The record is from RNAcentral.